UGAGUAUGUGGUUUAAUCGAUGCAACGCGAAGAACCUUACCUGGUCUUGACAUCCCGGAAGACCCUUAGGAAACUAGGGGGUGCUUCCAGUCUGGAAGAAUCUGGAGACAGGUGCUGCAUGGCUGUCGUCAGCUCGUGUCGUGAGAUGUUGGGUUAAGUCCCGCAACGAGCGCAACCCUUGCCUUUAGUUGCCAGCAGUUCGGCUGGGCACUCUAAAGGGACUGCCGGUGUUAAACCGGAGGAAGGUGGGGAUGACGUCAAGUCCUCAUGGCCUUUAUGACCAGGGCUACACACGUACUACAAUGGCCGAUACAAAGGGCAGCGACACUGCGAGGUGAAGCCAAUCCCGUAAAAUCGGUCUCAGUCCGGAUUGGAGUCUGCAACUCGACUCCAUGAAGUUGGAAUCGCUAGUAAUCGUGGAUCAGCAUGCCACGGUGAAUACGUUCCCGGGCCUU
RNAcentral lists this ribosomal RNA (455 nucleotides) under uncultured Desulfobulbus sp. Its description in RNAcentral is "bacterial SSU rRNA". It matches the Rfam family "Bacterial small subunit ribosomal RNA", at positions 934 to 1382 of the family's 1533-position model. Lineage: Bacteria; Pseudomonadati; Thermodesulfobacteriota; Desulfobulbia; Desulfobulbales; Desulfobulbaceae. The record is from RNAcentral.